UGGCUCAGUCGGUAGAGCAUAAGACUGUUGAUCUAGGGGCUGUGAGUUCAAGCCCCAC
RNAcentral lists this transfer RNA (58 nucleotides) under Ursus americanus (American black bear). It matches the Rfam family "tRNA", at positions 8 to 63 of the family's 71-position model. Rfam says of the family: Transfer RNA (tRNA) molecules are approximately 80 nucleotides in length. RNAcentral also lists the same sequence under 2 other names. The record is from Rfam by way of RNAcentral. Lineage: Eukaryota; Metazoa; Chordata; Mammalia; Carnivora; Ursidae.